Molecule: ribosomal RNA, 253 nt
Filed under: uncultured bacterium
Lineage: Bacteria
Description: partial 16S ribosomal RNA
Rfam family: Bacterial small subunit ribosomal RNA
Source: RNAcentral
UACGUACUGUGCGAACGUUAUUCGGAAUCACUGGGCUUAAAGGGUGUGUAGGCGGCUAACUAAGUAGGGUGUGAAAGGCCUUGGCCUAACCAAGGCAUUGCGCUCUAAACUGGUUGGCUUGAGUAAGAUAGGGGUGUGCGGAACUUCCAGUGGAGCGGUGAAAUGUGUUGAUAUUGGAAGGAACGCCGGUGGCGAAAGCGGCACACUGGGUCUUAACUGACGCUGAGACACGAAAGCCAGGGGAGCGAACGGG